This 1051-nucleotide long non-coding RNA is filed under the name Malus domestica (apple). Its description in RNAcentral is "long non-coding RNA (MDOM_LNC001842)". The record is from RNAcentral. Lineage: Eukaryota; Viridiplantae; Streptophyta; Magnoliopsida; Rosales; Rosaceae.
UUCAUACACUCCUAUUCUUUCAUGUGUGAUGAACUUAUGUGAGAUACAUCUCUAGAACUUGCGUAACGGUCUUUCGAAAUGUUUGUCAUUGAUUGCAUGAACUUGGAAAUGAUAGAGGCAUUAGGUUUACCACUAUGGCCCAAAUAAUCAUGUUUCCCAAAUAAAAAUGAUAUCAUUAGAUUGCCAAUUUGAGCCGUGUAUGUUGAGCCUUUUAUUUCUUAUCACCAGAUAUGUCUACCCUUAUACCUGAAACAUUUUUCCUUACCCUUUCCAAGCAAGCUAGUGAGCAAUGUGAGAUUGUCUUAUGAGAAAUGUUUGUGAAGUACUUUGAAGGUUUGGCAAAAGAAUAAGUGUGGGGGUAUUUCAUGUUUGUAUUUAAAAAAAUAAAAAAUAAAAAAUAAAAAAUAAAAAAAGAAAAAGAAAGAUUGUAUACAAAGAAAAUAAAAAGUUUUUAAAGUUUCAGUUUAAGGGUGUGGUUGGAGGUUUCAGAAGAAUCGUUGGAGAGCUUGAGUUUUUAUAAAUCUAAAGAAAAGAAUUGCUUGCAAUGUAGCUUGGAACUUGUGUUUUCCUAUUCUUUCGUUUCAAUAACCCUAUCCCUAAGCCUCAUUACAUCCAAUAAAAGUCCUCUUGAUUUAAGUUUUGCAAUUAUGACUGUGGAGAAGUGAUCUUUAUGCAAGCUUAUGGUAGAAAUUUCACAUUUGAUUCUUUGAGCGAAAUACAUUAAAACUAAACACAUGUGUGAUUGAGUGCAUAUCCCGUGAGAAGGUCGCUAGUUUGCAUAUGAUGAUUUUAAAAAUAAAAACUUGAAAUUGCAUUAGCAUGGCUAUCUCACACACUACACUUCAAGGAUGAUUCAAAGAUUACUGCUAAUAUUUGAAUAAGGAAGAUGAACUUGGAUUAGUUUGUUUGAUGCUAGCUAUGGUUCUUGAUGAUUUGUUUUCUUAAAUGAAAUUCUAUGAGGGUCACAUAGGGGGAAGCUAAUGUUUUUCUUGUUACUUCUUGUUCUUGUUUUCUUUGUUUUGCUCGAGGACUAGCAAAAGUUAAGUGUGGG